This 423-nucleotide ribosomal RNA is filed under the name uncultured bacterium. RNAcentral describes it as "bacterial SSU rRNA". It matches the Rfam family "Bacterial small subunit ribosomal RNA", at positions 207 to 622 of the family's 1533-position model. The record is from RNAcentral.
AAGACCUUGCGCUUUUGGAGCGGCCGAUGCCUGAUUAGCUUGUCGGUAAGGUAAAAGCUUACCAAGGCUUCGAUCAGUAGCUGGUCUGAGAGGACGACCAGCCACACUGGGACUGAGACACGGCCCAGACUCCUACGGGAGGCAGCAGUGGGGAAUUUUGGACAAUGGGGGCAACCCUGAUCCAGCCAUGCCGCGUGAGUGAAGAAGGCCUUCGGGUUGUAAAGCUCUUUCAGCCGGAACGAAACGGUUACGGUUAAUACCCGUGAUUACUGACGGUACCGGAAGAAGAAGCACCGGCUAACUACGUGCCAGCAGCCGCGGUAAUACGUAGGGUGCGAGCGUUAAUCGGAAUUACUGGGCGUAAAGCGUGCGCAGGUGGUUUUGUAAGUCAGAUGUGAAAGCCCCGGGCUCAACCUGGGAACU